This 1313-nucleotide ribosomal RNA is filed under the name Triticum aestivum (bread wheat). RNAcentral describes it as "partial small subunit ribosomal RNA". The record is from RNAcentral. Lineage: Eukaryota; Viridiplantae; Streptophyta; Magnoliopsida; Poales; Poaceae.
CCACCCCACCCAUCCCAACUUUCUUCCCCCGUGGGUUCCUCCCCAAUCAGCACCACAAGCCCCGGCGUGCACCUGCCCCUUCCCACCUCUCCGUCGAUCUGGCCCACUUUCCGGUUUGAAUCCGAGCCGUGGCUCGUGACGUCACGUGCGUCCUGAUCCGCGGGCCAGAAAACAUGCUUUCCGGUUAGGUCGACGGUGGCCGAGUAAAUGCGAUGGGCAAGCGGGUCUCCCUGGUUCAGUUGGUCGGCUGCGGAGGCUGAGCUCGGUGCCAUUCGAUGCGUCCGAAGGAGAGGAAAACGAUCCUUGAAUAUGGAGUUUCUCUUGCAGUUGAUUAAGAGAAGAACCAUCAUGGUUCCUGGAGGAGGUCAAUGCCAAUGAGAUUCCGAUUGAGCUUCUGCAGUAUCCAGUACUAGCACCUGCACCAGAAUUGCCUACGCAGUUGUCAAUGGAGGAGCUGCUGCCUUGGCGGCGAACAUCGGCGGGGGUCAAAUCUGUGUGGCGGUGGGGGUGGCGGACGGUGAAAUUGCACUCUAACAGACGCAAGCUUCGGAAUAGUCUGAGUAGAUCGGCCCAAAAGCGCCUAGAUGGACACAAAGGUUUGGAGUCAUCGUGUUAGUUCAGAAUUUUUUUCAGAAAGUUUUUGGUGUCGUACAAGAGUGCAAGGAUGAUGGGAUGACUGCAGUGCGUGGCAACAUGAAAAAUGUAGAUAAAACAGUGUUGGUCAGAUGGAUAUUCAAUCUCUGCACCCCUGAAAAUACAGAGAACAUAUUCAUAUUCUGGCCGUUUUGAAAUAGUUCAGAUGUGUAUGUUGUCUGUUGCAUAUAUGCAGUUCAGUAAAAAUGCUGAUUCAUUCUUGAACGGAACUAUUUAGUAGCAACCUGUCCGGACCGUGGGGAAGCUCCAGAACAAGCUGGUCGACCAACUUGAUGCAAGAACUGUGGAGUAGAGGGUCAGCGACGAAACAAAUGAAACAAAGCAGCGGAGCUAAGACUGAAAAGGGACUGAAAAAUGAUGCAUGGUUGACGUAAAACAAAAUGCAGGGGAACCAAUGGAGCUAAGGCUAGAGAGCAGCUGAAAUUUAGUUAUCCUUUACUGCAAUGUCAAUUUGAUGGCGUGUAUAAUUAGCAGGAGUGGUGCAAACAUACUGUAACAUGUGUGAGCAUCAUGCAAAUCCGUUUGCGCUGAAUAAACCUCGACUUUUAUAUAGUGUAACAUCGACCUGACUUCUGUGUGAGAUGCAUGAUGCAGUUUAGCUGCUCAUAUUUCUGAACAUGUUAUGCAUGCCCUGAACCAUAUGAAUAAAAUGCAAGGAC